This 1422-nucleotide ribosomal RNA is filed under the name Triticum aestivum (bread wheat). Its description in RNAcentral is "partial small subunit ribosomal RNA". The record is from RNAcentral. Lineage: Eukaryota; Viridiplantae; Streptophyta; Magnoliopsida; Poales; Poaceae.
AUGUCCUCCCCUCUCUCUUGCAUCGCCGACCUUUCGGCAACCUCCGCCGUUAACGCCCCCUAUCAAACUCACGGGAACGAACCAGCUGAGAGGGGGGAAAUGUCGGCGACACGCUACCAUACGCGGAAGCUAGCUACGCCCCAACCGCCUCCACUUUCCACUUCUCGUGGUAAAGCACCACGAACUCAGCCCGCAUGGCCUCGCCUUCUCACUCACCUACCUCACUGCAGCCUUCGCGUACACUCCUCUUAUUAUACGCUUGCAUGCUUCGCAACAGUGCGCCGUAACAAAAGGCCGGAGCCCAUGGAGAUCAUCACCAAGCGCCCCAGGGAGAGGCGGGGCAAUGCCGCCGACGGCGAGCCGCUCCCGCAGCUGCUCGACUCGCCGCUCCCCACGCCGCGCCGCUCGUGCGCCUCCGCGGACGCGCCCGGCAGCAGCCUGCGGUGCGCCGCCUCGCCGCUGCGCACGCAGGUGCCCUUCUCCUGGGAGAGCUCCCCCGGCGUGCCCAAGAGCGGCAGGGACACGCGGGAGGAGACGAUGCCGCCGCCCAAGCUGCCGCCCGGGCGCUGGCCGCCGCAGUGCCCCACCAGGACGAACUGGUGCUACGGCAACGGGAGUGAGGCCAGCAGCGACGACUGCGACGCGUCGUCCUUCUCCGACGCGCUGGACCGGGCGUCCUCCUCGCCCGCGCGGAUCGGCUCCUUCGACCGGGUCACGUCCAAGCGCUUCGAGGACAUCUUCCUCGGCCGCGCCGAGAGCUUCGCCAAGGACCGGUCCUACUCCUUCCGCCACGCGCCCACGGGCGAGCCCAGCGCCGUCGUCGCCGCGUCGUCGUCCUCGGCGAGACACACGAAGCACUGGCGGCGACGCGGCAGCUCGCGCCACCACGAUGACGACGACGGGGAGUGGCCAAAGAGCAACGACCCCGUGAGGGUCAUGCCGCGCGUCGAGCAGAUGUCCCCCAGAGCAUGCGGGCUCAUGGUGUUCUUCCCCUGGAGCGCGAAGCGGGCGGACUGCGGGUUCAGGAGCCCGUCGACGACGCGUCGCGCCGGCGCCGUUGACCAUUCGCCCUCCCGCGGCCGCGGCAACCCUUCCCUGCGUGACGCUCUGCAGGAGGACAACAAGACCGACGACAUGGACGUGCAAGACCCGCGGCCGCAGCAGCCGCGCGGGGAGAAGAGGAGCCGCGAGGAAUGGCAUGGCCGCGGGUGGGGCGUCUCGUCGCUGCUCAACACGAGCAAAAGGUACUGCACCGACGCACGGAAGGCCCUGAGCAAGCUAUCCAUCGGCCUGGGCGCCGACAGUGGCAGCCCGAGAGUUGGCAGGGACAGGAGGAGCGGCACGCAGGAUGCCACGUCCACAACGACGACCGCGCCCGUCGUCGGCGCCAAGCUGACCAAACUCAAGUCUAACAGAAAUUAA